RNAcentral lists this ribosomal RNA (253 nucleotides) under uncultured bacterium. RNAcentral's name for it is "partial 16S ribosomal RNA". It matches the Rfam family "Bacterial small subunit ribosomal RNA", at positions 524 to 776 of the family's 1533-position model. The record is from RNAcentral.
UACGUAGGGGGCAAGCGUUAUCCGGAUUUACUGGGUGUAAAGGGAGCGCAGACGGCGAUGCAAGUCUGGAGUGAAAGCCCGGGGCUCAACCCCGGGACUGCUUUGGAAACUGUAUGGCUAGAGUGCUGGAGAGGCAAGCGGAAUUCCUAGUGUAGCGGUGAAAUGCGUAGAUAUUAGGAAGAACACCAGUGGCGAAGGCGGCUUGCUGGACAGUAACUGACGUUCAGGCUCGAAAGCGUGGGGAGCAAACAGG